AGCACGGCAGCGUACACGGUGGUGCGGUCAGAAGGGCGAUGAAGGGCGUGCCCCAAUCUGCGAUAAGCGCCGGUAAGGUGAUAUGAACCGUUAUAACCGGCGAUGCGAAUAGAGAAGCAGUGUGACUCGUCACACUAUAUGGCAUUAACAAUCAUAGCAUAGGUUAAUGAGGCGGAACCGGGGAACUGAAACAUCUAAAGUACGAGGAAAAGAAAACCGAGAUUCCCCAGUAGCGGCGAGCGAACGGGGGGCCAGAGCCUGAAUCGCAUGUGUGUUAGUGGAAGCGUCUGGAAAGGCGCGCGAUACAUGACAGCCCCGUACACAAAAAGCGCAUGUGCUGUGAGAGGCUCGGUAGGGCGGAACGUGGUAUACAUACGGUAUGGGGACCCAUCCUCCAAGGCUAAAUAUACUCUGACUGACCGAUAGUGAACCAGUACCGUGAGGAAAGGCAGAACCCCGGCGAGGGAGUGAAAAGGAACCUGGAAACCGUGUACACGUACAAGCAGUGGGAGCCCACCAAAAGCGUUUCGCUUUUGUGUGGUGCUAAAAAGCAUGGCUGAAACAGCACUGAAUGACGGUUAACGCGGGCGCAGCGACGUUCAACAUAAAGAAUCAAGCAGGUGGAGCGCUUUGGGGUAAGGGUGACUGCGUACCUUUUGUAUAAUGGGUCAGCGACUUAUAUUCUGUAGCAAAGGUUAACCGGAAUAACGCGGGGAGCCGGAGAAACCGGAAGUCUUAACCGGGCGAUUGCAGGAGCGCGGAGCGAAACUUGUGAUCUAGCCAUGGGCGGUGAGGUUGGGUAACACUAACUGGAGACCGAACGACUAAUAUUGAAAAAGUAUGUGGAUGACCUGUGGCUGAGAGGGGUGGCCAAUCAAACCAGGAGAUAGCUGAAGUUCUCCCCGAAAGCCUAUUUAGAGCGCCUCGUGAAUCUCCGGGGUAGAGCACUGUUUCGGCUAGGGGGGCCCGUCCCGGCUUACGCCCGAUGCAAACUGCGAAUACCGGAGAAUAUUUAUCACGGGGUGCUAACGUCCGUCGUGAAGAAGAGAGCACAACUUAGACCAUAGCUAAGGUCCCAAAGUCAUGGUUAAGUGGGAAACGAUGUAGGAAGGCGAACAGCGAGGAUGUUGGCUUAGAAGCAGCCAUCAUUGAAAGCGUAAUAGCUCACUGGUCUGUCGGCCUGCGCGGAAGAUAUGGCACAGGGCUAAACCAUGCACCGAAGCUGCGGCAGCGACGCUUAUGCGUUGUUGGGCCAGGGCGUUCUGCUUAAGCGAAGGCUGGCCUGUGAGGGUUGCUGGAGCAUAGCAGAAGUGCGAAGAUACUGACGCAAAGUAACGAUAAAGCGGGUAGAAAAGCCCGCUCGCCGGAAAAUAAGGGUUUACUGUCAGCAGCGUUAAUCGGGCAGGAGUGGAAGUCGGCCAGGCAGGCGAAAAGGCGUCGAUAUGGGAAACAGGUUAAUAUAUUCCCGUAGCAGUGUUACUGCGAAGGGGACGGAAGAAGGCUAUGUUAGCCGGGCGACGAUUUGUCCCGGUUUAAGCGUGUAGGUGUGUUCGAGUAGAAAUCCGGUUCACUUAACACUGAGGCGUGAUGACGAGCACUACGAUUGCUGACUUAACAAUGCCCUGCGGGAAAAGCACUCUAAGCAUCCAGGUAACAUCAAAUCAUUUAAACCGGCACAGGUGGUCGAGUAGAGAAUACCAGGCGCUUGAGAGGAGGCUUCAGGUGAAGGAACUGGGCAAAAUGGUGCCGUAACUUCGGGAAGGCACGCUGAUAUGUAGGUGAAGCGGUUUGCAGUAGGCUGAAAUCAGUCGAAGAACACCACCAGCGGCUGCAACUGUUUAUUAAAAGCACAGCACUGUGCAAACACGAAAGGAAACGGACGUAUGCGGUAUGCCCGAGGUAUGGAGGAUGAGUGGUCAGCGCAAGCGAAGCUCCUGAUCGAAGCGGUAAACGGCGGCCGUAACUAUAACGGUCCUAAGGUAGCGAAAAUUCCUUGUCGGGUAAAGUUCCGACCUGCACGAAUGGCGUAAUGAUGGCGGGGCUGUCUCCGCGAACUCAGUGAGCUUUCGCUGUGAAGAUGCAGUGUACCCGCGGCAGGAGCAGGCAAUGAACUACUAUAGCGACGCAUUGAGCGCUUGAUGUGUAGGAUAGGUGGGGCUUUGAAGCGUGGACGCCAGUCUGCGUGGAACCGACGAAAUACCCGCGCAGCGAUGUGCUAACGUGGACGCCCGUGAUCCAGGUUGCCGGACGAAGUGUCUGGUGGUGGAUGGGGCGGUCUCCUCCUAGAGUAACGGAGCACAGGUUGGCUAUCUGGUCGGACAUCAGGAGGUUAGAUGCAAUGGCAUAAGCCAGCUUGACUGCGAGCGUGACGGCGCGAGCAGGUGCUGCACAGGUCAUGAUCCGGUGGUUCUGAAUGGAAGGGCCAUCGCUCAACGGAUAAAGAGGGCACUCCGGGGAUAACGGGCUGAUACCGCCCAGAGUUCAUAUCGACGGCGGUGUUUGGCACACCUCGAUGUCGGCUCAUCACAUCCUGGGGCUGAAGUAGGUCCCCAGGGUAUGGCUGUUCGCCAUUUAAAGUGGUACGCCGAGCUGGGGUUUGGGGCAUUGAGAUUCAGUUAUCUGCGUGGGCGCUGGAGAACUGAGGGGGCUGCUCCUGGUACGAGAGGACCAGGAAUUGGACGCAUCACUGGUGUUCUUUGUCAUGCCAAUGGCACUGCCCGGUAACUAAAUGCAGGAAAGAUAAGUGCACAGAAAGCAUGCGCGACACUUGAGAUGAGUUCUCCCACAAAGGACUUUGGGUCUCCUAGAGGUGGGGCGACGUUGAUGGGCGGGUGUGUGGCGCAGCGUGCGUUUGAAACAGCGUUUUAAUGAACCGUGAAACUGUGCUUA
RNAcentral lists this ribosomal RNA (2889 nucleotides) under Salmonella enterica subsp. enterica. RNAcentral describes it as "23S ribosomal RNA". It matches the Rfam family "Bacterial large subunit ribosomal RNA". The record is from RNAcentral. Lineage: Bacteria; Pseudomonadati; Pseudomonadota; Gammaproteobacteria; Enterobacterales; Enterobacteriaceae.